RNAcentral lists this unclassified non-coding RNA (375 nucleotides) under uncultured fungus. Its description in RNAcentral is "partial contains 5.8S ribosomal RNA and internal transcribed spacer 2". The stretch from base 1 to 133 matches the Rfam family "5.8S ribosomal RNA", at positions 22 to 154 of the family's 154-position model. Lineage: Eukaryota; Fungi. The record is from RNAcentral.
UGGCUCUCGCAUCGAUGAAGAACGCAGCGAAAUGCGAUAAGUAAUGUGAAUUGCAGAAUUCAGUGAAUCAUCGAAUCUUUGAACGCACCUUGCGCCCCUUGGUAUUCCGAGGGGCAUGCCUGUUUGAGUGUCAUUAAAUCAUCAACUCGAAAAGUUUUUUUCGAUGCUUGGAUCUUGGAGUGUGCGGGUCAUCUUAUCCGCUCCUCUCGAAAUGCAUUAGCGGUCAUCCGUAUGCGGACCUGCCCCGGCGUGAUAAUUAUCUGCGUCGCGGCCGCGAAGCUUUCUCAAUGAGAAGGAUAUGUCUGCUCACAGCCGUCGCUCACGCGACAAUCUAAUGACGAAUUUGACCUCAAAUCAGGUAGGACUACCCGCUGA